GGUUACAUAGCUUAGUGGUUAGGUUACUGGUCUUGUAUUCCAGGGGUCAUGAGUUCAAAUCUCACUGGAGCCU
Molecule: non-coding RNA, 73 nt
Organism: Danionella cerebrum
Lineage: Eukaryota; Metazoa; Chordata; Actinopteri; Cypriniformes; Danionidae
Source: the annotation of a GenBank genome assembly